This 65-nucleotide transfer RNA is filed under the name Clanis bilineata. RNAcentral's name for it is "tRNA-Arg". Lineage: Eukaryota; Metazoa; Arthropoda; Insecta; Lepidoptera; Sphingidae. The record is from RNAcentral.
AAAUAAGAAGCAAAAAAUUGCAUUUAAUUUCGACUUAAAAAUCAGAGUAAUUAACUCCUUAUUUA